CCAAUAGCGUAUAUUAAAGUUGUUGCAGUUAAAAAGCUCGUAGUUGAACUUCAGGCCUGUCCAGAUGGUCCGCCUUAAUUGGUGUGUACUGUCCUUGGGUGGGUCCUACCUUCUGGCGAAGCGGCAUGGCCUUAAUUGGUUGUGUUGGGGAACCAGGACUUUUACUGUGAAAAAAUUAGAGUGUUCAAAGCAGGCAAUAAUAUGCUCGAAUACAUUAGCAUGGAAUAAUGGAAUAGGACGAUGGUUCUAUUUUGUUGGUUCUAGGACCGUUGUAAUGAUUAAUAGGGAUAGUUGGGGGCAUUAGUAUUCAAUUGUCAGAGGUGAAAUUCUUGGAUUUAUUGAAGACUAACUACUGCGAAAGCAUUUGCCAAGGAUGUUUUCAUUAAUCAAGAACGAAAGUUAGGGGAUCGAAGACGAUCAGAUACCGUCGUAGUCUUAACCAUAAACUAUGCCGACUAGGAAUCGGGCGAUGUUGACAAAAUGACUCGCUCGGCACCUCAUG
This 502-nucleotide ribosomal RNA is filed under the name uncultured Glomeromycotina. Its description in RNAcentral is "partial small subunit ribosomal RNA". It matches the Rfam family "Eukaryotic small subunit ribosomal RNA", at positions 591 to 1092 of the family's 1831-position model. Lineage: Eukaryota; Fungi; Glomeromycota. The record is from RNAcentral.